RNAcentral lists this transfer RNA (72 nucleotides) under Cavia porcellus (domestic guinea pig). It matches the Rfam family "tRNA". Rfam says of the family: Transfer RNA (tRNA) molecules are approximately 80 nucleotides in length. Their secondary structure includes four short double-helical elements and three loops (D, anti-codon, and T loops). Further hydrogen bonds mediate the characteristic L-shaped molecular structure. tRNAs have two regions of fundamental functional importance: the anti-codon, which is responsible for specific mRNA codon recognition, and the 3' end, to which the tRNAs corresponding amino acid is attached (by aminoacyl-tRNA synthetases). tRNAs cope with the degeneracy of the genetic code in two manners: having more than one tRNA (with a specific anti-codon) for a particular amino acid; and 'wobble' base-pairing, i.e. permitting non-standard base-pairing at the 3rd anti-codon position. The record is from Rfam by way of RNAcentral. Lineage: Eukaryota; Metazoa; Chordata; Mammalia; Rodentia; Caviidae.
GGGGAUGGGGCUCAGUGGUAGAGUGCUUGCCUACAAUGCAAGAGUCCCUGGAUUCGAGCCCCAGCACUGCCA